Molecule: ribosomal RNA, 1343 nt
Filed under: uncultured bacterium
Lineage: Bacteria
Description: 16S ribosomal RNA
Rfam family: Bacterial small subunit ribosomal RNA
Source: RNAcentral
GACGAACGCUGGCGGCGUGCUUAACACAUGCAAGUCGAACGGAAAGGCCCUGCUUUUGUGGGGUGCUCGAGUGGCGAACGGGUGAGUAACACGUGAGUAACCUGCCCUUGACUUUGGGAUAACUUCAGGAAACUGGGGCUAAUACCGGAUAGGAGCUCCUGCUGCAUGGUGGGGGUUGGAAAGUUUCGGCGGUUGGGGAUGGACUCGCGGCUUAUCAGCUUGUUGGUGGGGUAGUGGCUUACCAAGGCUUUGACGGGUAGCCGGCCUGAGAGGGUGACCGGCCACAUUGGGACUGAGAUACGGCCCAGACUCCUACGGGAGGCAGCAGUGGGGAAUAUUGCACAAUGGGCGGAAGCCUGAUGCAGCAACGCCGCGUGCGGGAUGACGGCCUUCGGGUUGUAAACCGCUUUCGCCUGUGACGAAGCGUGAGUGACGGUAAUGGGUAAAGAAGCACCGGCUAACUACGUGCCAGCAGCCGCGGUGAUACGUAGGGUGCGAGCGUUGUCCGGAUUUAUUGGGCGUAAAGGGCUCGUAGGUGGUUGAUCGCGUCGGAAGUGUAAUCUUGGGGCUUAACCCUGAGCGUGCUUUCGAUACGGGUUGACUUGAGGAAGGUAGGGGAGAAUGGAAUUCCUGGUGGAGCGGUGGAAUGCGCAGAUAUCAGGAGGAACACCAGUGGCGAAGGCGGUUCUCUGGGCCUUCCCUGACGCUGAGGAGCGAAAGCGUGGGGAGCGAACAGGCUUAGAUACCCUGGUAGUCCACGCUGUAAACGGUGGGUACUAGGUGUGGGGUCCAUUCCACGGGUUCCGUGCCGUAGCUAACGCUUUAAGUACCCCGCCUGGGGAGUACGGCCGCAAGGCUAAAACUCAAAGGAAUUGACGGGGCCCCGCACAAGCGGCGGAGCAUGCGGAUUAAUUCGAUGCAACGCGUAGAACCUUACCUGGGUUUGACAUGGAUCGGGAGCGCUCAGAGAUGGGUGUGCCUCUUUUGGGGUCGGUUCACAGGUGGUGCAUGGCUGUCGUCAGCUCGUGUCGUGAGAUGUUGGGUUAAGUCCCGCAACGAGCGCAACCCUUGUUCACUGUUGCCAGCACGUUAUGGUGGGGACUCAGUGGAGACCGCCGGGGUCAACUCGGAGGAAGGUGGGGAUGACGUCAAGUCAUCAUGCCCCUUAUGUCCAGGGCUUCACGCAUGCUACAAUGGCUGGUACAGAGAGUGGCGAGCCUGUGAGGGUGAGCGAAUCUCGGAAAGCCGGUCUCAGUUCGGAUUGGGGUCUGCAACUCGACCUCAUGAAGUCGGAGUCGCUAGUAAUCGCAGAUCAGCAACGCUGCGGUGAAAACGUUCCCGGG